This 485-nucleotide ribosomal RNA is filed under the name Salmonella enterica. Its description in RNAcentral is "bacterial SSU rRNA". It matches the Rfam family "Bacterial small subunit ribosomal RNA", at positions 269 to 746 of the family's 1533-position model. Lineage: Bacteria; Pseudomonadati; Pseudomonadota; Gammaproteobacteria; Enterobacterales; Enterobacteriaceae. The record is from RNAcentral.
CAAGGCGACGAUCCCUAGCUGGUCUGAGAGGAUGACCAGCCACACUGGAACUGAGACACGGUCCAGACUCCUACGGGAGGCAGCAGUGGGGAAUAUUGCACAAUGGGCGCAAGCCUGAUGCAGCCAUGCCGCGUGUAUGAAGAAGGCCUUCGGGUUGUAAAGUACUUUCAGCGGGGAGGAAGGUGUUGUGGUUAAUAACCGCAGCAAUUGACGUUACCCGCAGAAGAAGCACCGGCUAACUCCGUGCCAGCAGCCGCGGUAAUACGGAGGGUGCAAGCGUUAAUCGGAAUUACUGGGCGUAAAGCGCACGCAGGCGGUCUGUCAAGUCGGAUGUGAAAUCCCCGGGCUCAACCUGGGAACUGCAUUCGAAACUGGCAGGCUUGAGUCUUGUAGAGGGGGGUAGAAUUCCAGGUGUAGCGGUGAAAUGCGUAGAGAUCUGGAGGAAUACCGGUGGCGAAGGCGGCCCCCUGGACAAAGACUGACGC